This 341-nucleotide ribosomal RNA is filed under the name Siphonops hardyi. RNAcentral's name for it is "partial 16S ribosomal RNA". It matches the Rfam family "Bacterial large subunit ribosomal RNA", at positions 1994 to 2515 of the family's 2925-position model. Lineage: Eukaryota; Metazoa; Chordata; Amphibia; Gymnophiona; Siphonopidae. The record is from RNAcentral.
GAAUGGCAAGACGAAAGCUUAACUGUCUCCUUUCUCCAGUCAAUGAAACUGAUCUCCCAGUACAAAAGCUGGAAUACACCAAUUAGACGAGAAGACCCUAUGGAACUUUAAACACGCAUCAACCUUAUGUCAAGUGUUUACAAACAAUAAAACAACUAAAACUUGACCACGCUGUUUUUGGUUGGGGCAACCAUGGAGAAAAAUAAUCCUCCAAGAAAAUAAACUAAGUAACACAAAACAAGGUAUCAGCCACCAACAUGACCCAAUACAAUUGAUCAACGAACCAAGCUACCCUAGGGAUAACAGCGCUAUCUUCUCCAAGAGCCCAUAUCACCGAGAAG